Molecule: long non-coding RNA, 1077 nt
Filed under: Zalophus californianus (California sea lion)
Lineage: Eukaryota; Metazoa; Chordata; Mammalia; Carnivora; Otariidae
Description: lncRNA (ENSZCAG00015004368.1)
Source: RNAcentral
AUUUGGUUUCCUAAAGAGAAAAAAUCAUCUGUGUAAACACUGUAUAGUGUGAUGUGUUCCUCAUACUGUUUUCGUUCCUCUAAUUGCAGGUGGAUGCAGAAGGGAACAAAAAGGUCCCACCCCUUUUAUUUUAUAAAGAUUUACUUUCAUAGGCCUACUGUGACCAAAGAAGAAGAUUUGGUUGUGGAGAACCUGGAAGAUGAUUCGAGUCAGAUGGUGGAAGACUCUCCAGAUCCGAACAGCACUCAGAUAGGACUCAACGGGAGAGGGUUCCAGAAGAGGACACUCUGGCCAUAUCUCAGGCCUAGGUGCUCCAGAGGUCCUCAUCGAAAGUGAGCCAGACAGGCCUUUGCUGUCCAGCUGCAGCUUUGGUGGUUUCUCAGAGGAAGAGCCAGCAUAAAAGGAUGCACAUGUAACCAUCAGACAGAAACACACUCAGAGGAACAGCUCAGCUGCACUUGACAGUUGCAGGCCUCAGAAAGAAGCUUCACAUAUUCUAACCAGGAGACCAGGACUGGGGACCCCUGCAGACAAGACAAAGUGACUCUCUGAGACUGCCACCACCCCUGAAGUGGGUUUAGAAUCACUGCUGAAGACCAGCCUCUGAGGACGAAGCAGCACUCCAGGGCACGCCCAGUGCAUUUCUGUGUGACACCAAGGCCAUCUUCAACGACAGCACUAGACGGCCUCCCAGUUCUUUCCCUCUGCUUGCAGCAAGAUCUGGUCCUCCUCCAGCUGUGCCUCCAAACCCAGCAGGAAUACACAGCAGGACAGAUGCAGGAAGACUUAGGACUGCCAGAACCCAGUGACCACCCUGGAUUCCAACUAAGGGACAGCCCUGUGCAUCCUCUAUCUCAGACGGUACAAGCUUGUGUCAGAGCCCCUUUCAGUCACAUCUUCACAAUCACUGUCCCCACCUCCCUGGCUGACUGACACCUGCUCAAUCUCAUGAAUCAUGCAGGGCUAACCUGCUGGGUCCCCAAACUGGUACCCCUGCCCCCUCCAUCUCACCAGGCAGGGAGUCUGCAUGGGAAGUCCAUCUCCUGACUGGCCAGCUCCAGAAGCAUCUGAGUCCCU